This 125-nucleotide transfer RNA is filed under the name Sclerotinia borealis F-4128. It matches the Rfam family "tRNA". Rfam says of the family: Transfer RNA (tRNA) molecules are approximately 80 nucleotides in length. Their secondary structure includes four short double-helical elements and three loops (D, anti-codon, and T loops). Lineage: Eukaryota; Fungi; Ascomycota; Leotiomycetes; Helotiales; Sclerotiniaceae. The record is from Rfam by way of RNAcentral.
GGUGGUGUAGUGUAAUGGUAUCACGUGGUGUUGUGGUUUCUCCUUUCGAGGGUCUUCAUGAAGAUGAGUCUUUACAAGCUCCUUACAUCCCCGCUUCAAUCUGGGUUCGAUUCCCAGCACCGCCA